ACAAAAAUCCCAAAAAAUUCUGUAAUCUUUGAUUUGAACGUAAACAUUAACAUGCGUUUUUUUGACAAUUAAUGGUUAGCCAGCCGCAUGUUACAGAUCUUACUUUUUAGUGUCGUUUUUAUCUAAAGUAGCUCUUCGUUUCUGUAUUUUUUAAGCAUGGCUGGCGUUUCUUUUUUUGGUGAAGUGAUUCAGCAGUCUUCAAGGGCCUUUUGGAAUGAUGAGGAUAGUGAUGAUGAAAAUGAUGCAUCUGCUGAAGCAAAGUUACACCUAACUCAGAAUGCAGAACAAGAUUCCUCUUAUCACACUCUAAUUAUUGCUGAUGGACAAAUUGCAAAUGAAUUUGUUCAAUUUUUCCUGGUUGAUUCUAAGCAAUGUGAAGUAGCUAAAAUCCAUAGCAGUGAUGACAGUCCAAAGAGAACUUAUGCAGCACUUCUAAAACUGAAAGAGUCUGUUCUACUUUGUGUUUGUUCAAAUGUUCCCGUUGAGUACGCCAAUCAAAUCACAGAGAUGCUAUCACCAUGGAUUAAAGGAGCCUCUCAGAUAAUUAUCUUGGGUUCCGCUGUCAACACAUAUUAUAGAUGUGAUAACUUUGACCUGUUACCACCAUCUUUUCUUCGAAGUUUAAAGACAUGUACAUGGAAAGAGUCAGUGAAAGCUCCACCGUUAGAAAUUCCAAACACUGUAAUAGGUGUUCCUGCGUCAGUUCUAUCGUUUUGUGAAAUUCUAGACAUCUCAGCAGUGCUUUAUGUCUGUUACGCAGAUUCCUUACACAUUGACUCGCAGAGCAUUCAACCGCUUUUCAAUCUCUUCCAUACUAGUCCAGAACUUAGCUCACUACUUAAAACCGAUAAAAACCUUAAGAAUUAUCACUAUUCAUCAUCCAUUACUCAGUCGAACAUGUAUUUAUGAAAAGAGUAGAACGUGUGCAGAACACCCAAAGCAGCACCAGCCAGAACACCUGUAGCGCCAUAAACAUUGUUGAUCCAAGCUCUCACCGGAUCUUUGUAGAUUUGCCGCCAUGUGGCCACCCCCUUAAUCCGGCCCUGGCCACCGGACCACCUCCACCGUCUUCGUCGACGUUGCCGUCCACCACCAACCAGGAUCCCGCCGGUCAACAUCCGGGGUCAGCGCCGGGCCAUCCCUCCGUGAAGAUUGAGGACGAAGAAGUCAAUACCCCUGACCAACGAACAUCAGCGGUGCCGGAGGAUAAAUUCCGGAGGUGGACUCAGCAAGAAACAGAAGAGCUGAAGGAAGUGUUCCGAGAGUUCCUGGCUGACGACCGGAUGCCCAACCGGGCCGAGAUCCUUACGCGGAUAGGCCUAGACAUGUGUCCGCAAGGUAGAUCCCUUGCCUCCAUCCGCGACCAACUUUUCAGGAACCGAUAGGCCUCUUGCCUUGGCGCAUUUCUGCACUCCUUCUCAAACUUUUAUUUUUUUUUCAUAUUACCUCUUUAAUCUUAUUAUUCUAAUAACUAUUAAUAUGUACCAAAAUAGGAAGUGAGAACUAUCACAAGUAAAAUUCUUGUCAAAAUCCCACCUCGAGUUCCGCAUCGAGGAAUGGUGUUAAGUAUUUUUUUUUAAUAUUCUGUCAACUGUA
Bemisia tabaci is the source of this 1596-nucleotide non-coding RNA. Lineage: Eukaryota; Metazoa; Arthropoda; Insecta; Hemiptera; Aleyrodidae. The record is from RefSeq and is a predicted model, not a curated record.